This 432-nucleotide ribosomal RNA is filed under the name uncultured bacterium. Its description in RNAcentral is "partial 16S ribosomal RNA". It matches the Rfam family "Bacterial small subunit ribosomal RNA", at positions 29 to 506 of the family's 1533-position model. The record is from RNAcentral.
AACGAACGCUGGCGGCAUGCCUAACACAUGCAAGUCGAACGAGACCUUCGGGUCUAGUGGCGCACGGGUGCGUAACGCGUGGGAACCUGCCCUUAGGUUCGGAAUAACUCCCCGAAAGGGGUGCUAAUACCGGAUAAUGUCUUCGGACCAAAGAUUUAUCGCCUUUGGAUGGGCCCGCGUUGGAUUAGCUAGUUGGUAGGGUAAAAGCCUACCAAGGCGACGAUCCAUAGCUGGUCUGAGAGGAUGAUCAGCCACACUGGGACUGAGACACGGCCCAGACUCCUACGGGAGGCAGCAGUGGGGAAUAUUGGACAAUGGGCGAAAGCCUGAUCCAGCAAGGCCGCGUGAGUGAUGAAGGCGUUAGGGUUGUAAAGCUCUUUUACCCGGGAUGAUAAUGACAGUACCGGGAGAAUAAACUCCGGCUAACUCCGU